This 230-nucleotide small RNA is filed under the name Paenibacillus curdlanolyticus. RNAcentral's name for it is "c-di-AMP sequence". It matches the Rfam family "c-di-AMP riboswitch aptamer (ydaO/yuaA leader)". From Rfam's summary of the family: This family represents a conserved RNA structure found upstream of the ydaO and yuaA genes in Bacillus subtilis and related genes in other bacteria. RNAcentral also lists the same sequence under 1 other name. Lineage: Bacteria; Bacillati; Bacillota; Bacilli; Caryophanales; Paenibacillaceae. The record is from RNAcentral.
UCCAGUAACACGCUUAAUCUCCUAACGGAGAACGGGGGAACCAAAUGUGGAAGCUUUGCAUGACCUGAUUAGUCGGCAAAGGCGGAAGCAUUGAUCCAAAUGGGGUGAAUUUCGCAACCCUGCAUCGGGCACGUACGAGAUCGUCAUGAUCCGCCGAUAGCAGAGCGAAUAGGGCAGGAUCUCUAGCCCGAAUCCGACAGCUAACCUCGUAAGCGAAUAAGAGAGAUCAA